AUGAAGCCCCCCCACCUUGCCCCGCGGGGUCCUGGACCCAGCCUCCCCCACCCCUAUCCUGUGGCCCCUUCGGGGGCCAGACUCCCGCCCCCACCGUGCCUAUCCCGCGGGUCUCACCCAGGCCCAGGCUGGGCCGCCACCGGGGCCAGGUGGAGCGGGUCUGCUUCCCGGGGGCUGGAGGUGGCCGCAGCCGCCGACGCCUCUGGAGCCCCAGCCGCCUCCGCCUCCUCCUCCGCCGCCGCUGCCUUAUCCUGGCGCUGCCCCCAGCCGGGCCCCCGCCCCCCGCCCGCCCAUUGGCUCCGCGCGGCCCCGGAGCCGCCUCUGGGUCCCCCAACCCGGCUCCCCGCCCCGCUUUGUCUCCUCUCCCGCUUUCCCUCCCUCAGACCCCCGCCUUUGUCUGCCCCCAAACCCGGGAGGUUGGCGCCAAAGACUCGGACUGAGCCGGCCGCCCCCCACCCUAGCCCCGAGCCCCGCGCCUGCCCUUCUGGUUGCCUCUCCUCCGACCAAGCCUGGCUUCUCCCCGUCCCAAACUCGUUCCGCUCCGCGCCCCAGCCUCUAACGGCCCGUCGAGGUCCCCCUAGACCUCGCGCUCGCUUUCAGCUUCGGUCCCGCCCUCCUCUCCUAUCCCAGCCGGCCUCGGGGCGCUUCAGUGCCAGCCCAACAUCUCCCCUCCCGCCCGGGCCUUGCGGGGGUGGGGGGGGACAGGAACCAGGAGUGCGAGGGAAGAAGGGGUCCUGCCCCUCCAGAGCUCCCGAGGAGGGGGCCGCCUGUGUGUGUUGGGGGAUCCCCUGGCAGGGUGUGUCACGGGGACAGCACCUGGGACAUUUGUCCCUCUUCCCGCCACAUCAGACUUCCUGGAUCAUUUCUCGGCCUCAGUUUCCUCUGGAUUCCCCACUGGCCCCCGUGGGCGCGGUGUCCCACCGCCCGCUGCACGGCUCCCACUCGGCUCUUGGGGCCCCGGGGCCGGGCGCAGGGCUGGGACACUCGGACCCCAGUCCUCCCGGGCUGCUCAGCCAAAGUCCUCUCUUUCACCGAACUCGAUGCCGGGGGUGA
This 1053-nucleotide long non-coding RNA is filed under the name Phascolarctos cinereus (koala). RNAcentral's name for it is "lncRNA (ENSPCIG00000036518.1)". The record is from RNAcentral. Lineage: Eukaryota; Metazoa; Chordata; Mammalia; Diprotodontia; Phascolarctidae.